AAGCGAGACAGUGAUGUGGAGCAAAUCCCAAAAAUAACGUCCCAGUUCGGACUGUAGUCUGCAACCCGACUACACGAAGCUGGAAUCGCUAGUAAUCGCGAAUCAGAAUGUCGCGGUGAAUACGUUCCCGGGUCUUGUACACACCGCCCGUCACACCAUGGGAGUCAGCAACGCCCGAAGUCAGUGACCCAACCGAAAGGAGGGAGCUGCCGAAGGCGGGGCAGGUAACUGGGGUGAAGUCGUAACAAGGUAGCCGUAUCGGAAGGUGCGGCUGGAUCACCUCCUUUCUAAGGAA
This 295-nucleotide ribosomal RNA is filed under the name Enterocloster clostridioformis. RNAcentral describes it as "partial 16S ribosomal RNA". It matches the Rfam family "Bacterial small subunit ribosomal RNA", at positions 1247 to 1533 of the family's 1533-position model. The record is from RNAcentral. Lineage: Bacteria; Bacillati; Bacillota; Clostridia; Lachnospirales; Lachnospiraceae.